GUGCUUGCUCACUUUGGCAGCACAUAUACUAAAAUUGAAAUGAAGAUUAGCAUGCCCCCUGUGCAAGGAUGACAUGCAAAUUGGUGGAAAAAUAAUCUUUGUA
Artibeus jamaicensis (Jamaican fruit-eating bat) is the source of this 103-nucleotide small nuclear RNA. The record is from RefSeq and is a predicted model, not a curated record. Lineage: Eukaryota; Metazoa; Chordata; Mammalia; Chiroptera; Phyllostomidae.